CCUACGGGAGGCAGCAGUGAGGAAUUUUCCGCAAUGGGCGAAAGCCUGACGGAGCAAUACCGCGUGAGGGAUGAAGGAUUUUGGUCUGUAAACCUCUUUUCUCAAGAAAGAAGUUCUGACGGUACUUGAGGAAUAAGCAUCGGCUAACUCCGUGCCAGCAGCCGCGGUAAUACGGGGGAUGCAAGCGUUGUCCGGAAUGAUUGGGCGUAAAGCGCCUGUAGGUUGUUUAUUAAGUCCGUUGUUAAAGCCUAGGGCUCAACCCUAGAAAAGCAAUGGAAACUAGUAGACUAGAGUAUGGCAGGGGUAGAGGGAAUUUCUAGUGUAGCGGUGAAAUGCGUAGAUAUUAGAAAGAACACCGGUGGCGAAAGCGCUCUACUGGACCAUUACUGACACUCAGAGGCGAAAGCUAGGGUAGCAAAAGGGAUUAGAUACCCCUGUAGUCCUAGCCGUAAACGAUGGAUACUAGAUGUUGUGCAUUAUGUACAGUAUCGUAGCUAACGCGUUAAGUAUCCCGCCUGGGGAGUACGCUCGCAAGGGCGAAACUUAAAGGAAUUGACGG
RNAcentral lists this ribosomal RNA (559 nucleotides) under uncultured bacterium. RNAcentral's name for it is "bacterial SSU rRNA". It matches the Rfam family "Bacterial small subunit ribosomal RNA", at positions 338 to 916 of the family's 1533-position model. The record is from RNAcentral.